GUGCUCACUUCAGCAGCACAUACAAUACAAUUGGAGCAAUACAAAGAUUAGUAUGGCUCCAGCACAAAGAUGAGACACAAAUUUGUGAAGCCUUCCAAAUUUUA
Molecule: small nuclear RNA, 104 nt
Organism: Sorex fumeus (smoky shrew)
Lineage: Eukaryota; Metazoa; Chordata; Mammalia; Eulipotyphla; Soricidae
Source: RefSeq, a predicted model, not a curated record